Long non-coding RNA from Pyrus x bretschneideri (Chinese white pear), 518 nucleotides. RefSeq lists it as uncharacterized. The transcript is spliced from 2 exons. NCBI's taxonomy places the organism in Eukaryota, Viridiplantae, Streptophyta, Magnoliopsida, Rosales, Rosaceae. The record is from RefSeq and is a predicted model, not a curated record.
UUGGAAUAACACCAUUAACAUAACCAAGCUUUGAUCGUCCUCCCAGAGCAAGAGAAACUGCUCUCUCCCAUGGAAGAUAGUUAAACUCAUUUAGCAAGACAGAACUAAGACGUUGAUUUGGGUUGAUAUCAAUAUCUGAGUGUGGUGAUGGUGGAGUAGCAUGAAAGCCGUCUCCUUCCAAAUUUACUAAGCUUUCUUCAGCCAUGAUUGAAGGACAAGAAGCUCACAAAUCUCUCAAGAGAACAUCACAGAGACAGGCCGGUUAGGGUCACUGCUCUGAUACCAUAUUGAAUUUUGAAUGUCUAUAUUUUUGUAUUAUGUAAAACCAAGUACAAGGAAAGCUCAUAUAAAUGAGCGGAAGAAGGAAAAAGAAAACAGAAGCCGAAAGAAAGGUGAGGACAAGCAGAAAACAUGGAAAAGUAAAGGUGAGGAAAACAUGGAAAAGUAAAGGUCACCAUACACCCAUGCUUUCUGUCACUAUACACCCAUCACCAUACACCCAUGCUUUCUUCCAAUAA